GCCAGGAUGGCCGAACGGUAAGGCGCACGCCUGGAAAGCGUGUUCCCUUACGGGAUUCAGGGUUCAAAUCCCUGUCCUGGCG
This 82-nucleotide transfer RNA is filed under the name Halorussus limi. RNAcentral describes it as "Halorussus sp. XZYJT49 tRNA-Ser". It matches the Rfam family "tRNA". From Rfam's summary of the family: Transfer RNA (tRNA) molecules are approximately 80 nucleotides in length. Their secondary structure includes four short double-helical elements and three loops (D, anti-codon, and T loops). Lineage: Archaea; Methanobacteriati; Methanobacteriota; Halobacteria; Halobacteriales; Haladaptataceae. The record is from RNAcentral.